UACAGAGGGUGCGAGCGUUAAUCGGAAUUACUGGGCGUAAAGCGUGCGCAGGCGGUGAUGUAAGACAGUUGUGAAAUCCCCGGGCUCAACCUGGGAACUGCAUCUGUGACUGCAUCGCUGGAGUGCGGCAGAGGGGGAUGGAAUUCCGCGUGUAGCAGUGAAAUGCGUAGAUAUGUGGAGGAACACCGAUGGCGAAGGCAGCCCCCUGGGCUAAGAUUGACGCUCAUGCACGAAAGCGUGGGGAGCAAACAGG
This 253-nucleotide ribosomal RNA is filed under the name uncultured bacterium. RNAcentral's name for it is "partial 16S ribosomal RNA". It matches the Rfam family "Bacterial small subunit ribosomal RNA", at positions 524 to 776 of the family's 1533-position model. The record is from RNAcentral.